Molecule: ribosomal RNA, 729 nt
Filed under: uncultured bacterium
Lineage: Bacteria
Description: bacterial SSU rRNA
Rfam family: Bacterial small subunit ribosomal RNA
Source: RNAcentral
UGGCCGCGGGWUAGAGUUUGAUCCUGGCUCAGAUUGAMCSCUGGCGGCAGGCCUAACACAUGCAAGUCGAGCGGAUGAAGGUAGCUUGCUACCUGAUUCAGCGGCGGACGGGUGAGUAAUGCCUAGGAAUCUGCCCGAUAGUGGGGGACAACGUUUCGAAAGGAACGCUAAUACCGCAUACGUCCUACGGGAGAAAGUGGGGGAUCUUCGGACCUCACGCUAUCGGAUGAGCCUAGGUCGGAUUAGCUAGUUGGUGAGGUAAUGGCUCACCAAGGCGACGAUCCGUAACUGGUCUGAGAGGAUGAUCAGUCACACUGGAACUGAGACACGGUCCAGACUCCUACGGGAGGCAGCAGUGGGGAAUAUUGGACAAUGGGCGAAAGCCUGAUCCAGCCAUGCCGCGUGUGUGAAGAAGGUCUUCGGAUUGUAAAGCACUUUAAGUUGGGAGGAAGGGUUGUAGGUUAAUACCCUGCAAUUUUGACGUUACCAACAGAAUAAGCACCGGCUAACUUCGUGCCAGCAGCCGCGGUAAUACGAAGGGUGCAAGCGUUAAUCGGAAUUACUGGGCGUAAAGCGCGCGUAGGUGGUUCAGCAAGUUGGAUGUGAAAGCCCCGGGCUCAACCUGGGAACUGCAUCCAAAACUACUGAGCUAGAGUACGGUAAAGGGUGGUGGAAUUUCCUGUGUAGCGGUGAAAUGCGUAGAUAUAGGAAGGAACACCAGUGGCGAAA